Sceloporus undulatus (fence lizard) is the source of this 1134-nucleotide long non-coding RNA. RefSeq lists it as uncharacterized. NCBI's taxonomy places the organism in Eukaryota, Metazoa, Chordata, Lepidosauria, Squamata, Phrynosomatidae. The record is from RefSeq and is a predicted model, not a curated record. The transcript is spliced from 2 exons.
AUGGUGUUUAGACAAUACACACUUCCAAAGCAGCUGUAAAAGCCAUGCCAAAUCCGUGUUCCAGUCCUUAAGACAGGAUUUAAAAAAAAAAAAAGCCAGGUGUAGCAGGCCCAAAGGGCCUACUGCCCACCAUUGCCUUCCGACCAGGCUCUAUAGGUCUCAGUGGACUGGAAGAAGGAGGACAUAGGCUAUAUAGAAGUUUUAAUUAGCUGUUAUUAACACGGCCAAUUAUACCACAACUUCUGGGGGCUGUUAUUUCACAGUACAAUAUAUUCAGAGGUUGGACUCUCAUUUUUCAUCUCUUGAAGACCAUGAAUGGUCUCAUAUUUUACAAGAAUAACUGUGUCCUUAUCUUAUCUUGCAUUUCUGACUUCAGACCCAUGUAUUUAUUAUUUUUAAAAGAUUAAAUAAUCUUUGUCUUUCUGCAGUUCCAUGUACAGCAAGUCAAGAAGACAUGCAACGUAACAAUAUAAGGUUCAAGUGGUCAAGAAAUGAAAAAAUGUAUUUUGAAUCGGGAGAACGAAUAGAAUUCACCUUUACCAAGGCAAGAAAUGGGGAGAAGUCUACAACAGAGUUUUAACCAGCAUGUUAUCAUCAGAAACCACAGAUCAAUUACCUUUAAUAGCAUAAAAUUACAUUUAAUUUUUGCAAAUGCAUUUUUCAAAGAUUAUAUUUAGCUACUUUUAAUGGAUUGUAAAUCUUGCAUUGGACAUGUAUUUUACAGGCUAUUUCUAAAAGGUGAAGUUCAAAGAAGCAUAGGAUUGGUCUACUUUCAAUGUAAUUCAGUUUAAAGAACAGUGGGCCCUUCCCUUACGUGGGGUGUCCAUUCUGGAUCCCCCUGCAUAAGAGGAACUCCAUGUAUUCUUGUGACCCAUUGAAAACAAUCGAGUGCAUGCUCAUGGCGCCACUCACCACUGUCGCACAGCUUCAGCAUAACCUUGAAGCUGCAUAUAGUGCACCCGCAUACGGCGUGGGCACACUAUAGGACAAAUCUAUUGAAAGAAAAAAAACAUAUACUGAUAAUGUAUGCACUUUGCAUGUGAACUAGCAAAGGGGCCUAACAACCCUAAACAAUACAGUAGCUAUGUAUAACUUCAGUCAUUACUUUUUGUUUGAAAAUUUUUUGUGUAUUUU